UACGGAGGGUGCAAGCGUUAUCCGGAUUCACUGGGUUUAAAGGGUGCGUAGGAGGGCAGGUAAGUCAGUGGUGAAAUCUCCAAGCUUAACUUGGAAACUGCCGUUGAUACUAUCUGUCUUGAAUACCGUGGAGGUGAGCGGAAUAUGUCAUGUAGCGGUGAAAUGCUUAGAUAUGACAUAGAACACCAAUUGCGAAGGCAGCUCACUACACGAAUAUUGACUCUGAGGCACGAAAGCGUGGGGAGCAAACAGG
This 253-nucleotide ribosomal RNA is filed under the name uncultured bacterium. RNAcentral's name for it is "partial 16S ribosomal RNA". It matches the Rfam family "Bacterial small subunit ribosomal RNA", at positions 524 to 776 of the family's 1533-position model. The record is from RNAcentral.